This 881-nucleotide long non-coding RNA is filed under the name Pan troglodytes (chimpanzee). Its description in RNAcentral is "long non-coding RNA NONPTRT011338". Lineage: Eukaryota; Metazoa; Chordata; Mammalia; Primates; Hominidae. The record is from RNAcentral.
CUCCACUAGCUCGGUGAGGUACAUACUAUGCCCAUUUAACAGAUGAGGAAACAGAUGGUCAGAGAGCUCAGAUAAGAAGCCCAGGGUCUCACCAUGUAGAAUCUGGAUGCAGGGCCAAGUUGUCUUGGAACUGGAAUUUGGAACACCUGACAUGCUUGGUUCUUUAUUUCCUGCUGUUUCCUGAGGGAACUGACCUGCCCAAGCAGGACCAAAAGGCUACCCCAUGAAGAAAAGCUCUGCUACUGGAUCAUUGUUCUCAUCUCUCUCUGGGUCUCUGCUCAGUGGAGGCAGAAAAGAUGCUUUUCCAUUUCUAUUGCCUGUCUUCCUCUCCAUUCACAUGCACUUUCCCACUGACUACAGUAAGGAUGUAAGAAACACCCCCAUAGAGUUGAUACAAUCAAGUUUCCUUCUGCCGGAAUGUCAGCAUCUGGAAUGGCACCAAAGGAUUUGAGAAGAAUGAUGCCAGGACACCAGAUUUUCAAACAAGCAUCUAUCAGCCAUGCGGUUGCUCUGAAGUCACAUGGUCAGCCUGCCAUUUGGGGUAUCAUAGUUUCUAUCACAAUGGAGCUGGGUUGGAUUUCGUGCUGGCAUCUCUUAAGGCAAAUUCACAUUCGACAGGCCUCUGCAGAUUGGAGCAGAAGCAGCAGCUCCCUGGGCAGCCCAGUUCUAGGUGUAAUAAAAAGAAAAGCAGCAAAUGCAGAUCACAUACAAAAAUCCUUACACCAGGAAUUCCGGAAAACCAUUUAGAAAACCACCUGCACUGCUUGUGGGCCAGCUGGCUCCCACAGAUGAAAAAAUCCAGGGGUAGAAGGCUGACUAAAUCCCACCUUAGCUUUCAUUGCAAGGACAUGAGUGUUUGCAAUUUCCUAAUGACGAUGGUA